UACGAGGGGGCCAAGCGUUGUUCGGAAUUAUUGGGCGUAAAGGGUGCGUAGGCGGUUUGGUAAGUCUGAUGUGAAAUCUAUGGGCUCAACUCAUAGUCUGCAUCGGAAACUGCCGGGCUUGAGUAUGGGAGAGGUGAGUGGAAUUCCUGGUGUAGCGGUGAAAUGCGUAGAUAUCAGGAGGAACACCUGCGGCGAAAGCGGCUCACUGGACCAUAACUGACGCUGAUGCACGAAAGCUAGGGGAGCAAACAGG
RNAcentral lists this ribosomal RNA (253 nucleotides) under uncultured bacterium. Its description in RNAcentral is "partial 16S ribosomal RNA". It matches the Rfam family "Bacterial small subunit ribosomal RNA", at positions 524 to 776 of the family's 1533-position model. The record is from RNAcentral.